GUCGCGGCCUACCAUGCAGUCGAACGGACCCCUUCGGGUGUCUGUGGCACACGGGUGAAUAACACGUGGGAACGUGCCCUUCGGCUCAGAAUAUCUCGGGAAACUUGAGCUAAUACCGGAUACGCCCUUCUGGGGAAAUGUUUACUGCCGAAGGAUCGGCCCGCGUCUGAUUAUAUUGUUGGUGGGGUUGCGGCCUACCAGGGCGAAUAUCUAUAUGUGGUCUGAGAGGAUGAUCCCCCAUUGUGGGACUGACACACGGCCCACACUCCUACGGGAGGCAGCAGUGGAAACUAUUGCACUGUGGGCGCACCCCUGAUCCACCCGUGCCGCGUGAGUGAUGAGGGCCUUAAGUGUGUAAUUCUCUUUUGUCCGGCACUAUAGUGACGGCCCCGAAAAAAUACCCCCCGUAUAUCUUCGUGCCAACACCCGCGGUAAUACAAGGGGGGCUAGCGUUGCUCAAAAUCUGUGGGCGUAGGGGGCGCAUACGCGGCCGAUUAACUCAGGGGUGAAAGCCUGUGUCUCAACCACAAAAGUGCCUUCUAUACUGGAUGUUGUGAGACCGAAAGAGGACAGCAAAACUGCGAGUGUAGAGGUGAAAUUCAUAUAUAUUCACAAGAACACCAGUGGAGAGCGAGGCUGUCUGUCCCUACUCUGACUCUGACGCGAGAAAGCGUGGAGAGCACACGAGAUUAUAUACUCUGAUACUCCACGCCGUACAAUAUUAGUGACAUGCGUUGCUCUGCUUGCAUGUCAGUGGCGCCUAUCACGCUUUACGCAUUCCCGUCUGCAGAGUACUCUCGCGAAUAUUAACUCUCAGGAGUUGUGACGGGGCGCCCCGCACGACGCUGGUACGUGAUGUGUUUUAUUAUUCUUCAG
This 876-nucleotide ribosomal RNA is filed under the name Methylobacterium sp. Its description in RNAcentral is "bacterial SSU rRNA". It matches the Rfam family "Bacterial small subunit ribosomal RNA", at positions 41 to 962 of the family's 1533-position model. Lineage: Bacteria; Pseudomonadati; Pseudomonadota; Alphaproteobacteria; Hyphomicrobiales; Methylobacteriaceae. The record is from RNAcentral.